AGUUAGGAAGAGAUAAACUCUCCCAAUGAAAUAGCCAAGAGUUUCAUUGUUGACAAUUCCCUUUGAAACUGCUUCACCAAGCCGAAUUCUCUUUGCAGACUGGCCAGACAUUUGCUCUUCCCUUGGGAACAUCAGAAAUUCAAGAUCUGCAACUUCAGGGUACUUUGGGUGAGAUUUAUCUUCAGGAUCAACAAAAUGCUCAAUCUCUGCUAAUGUGAAUUCACGGACUCUCAGAAGGCCUUGGCGAGGAGAGAUCUCAUUUCUGAAAGCCUGACCAAUUUGAGCAGCAGCAAAAGGGAGUUUGUUCCCAUUGUAGUAGUACAAGUCCUUAAAGUUUACAAAUAUGCCUUGUGCUGUUUCAGGACGCAUAUAACCAGGGA
RNAcentral lists this unclassified non-coding RNA (380 nucleotides) under Hevea brasiliensis (rubber tree). Lineage: Eukaryota; Viridiplantae; Streptophyta; Magnoliopsida; Malpighiales; Euphorbiaceae. The record is from RNAcentral.